Molecule: long non-coding RNA, 410 nt
Organism: Mastomys coucha (southern multimammate mouse)
Lineage: Eukaryota; Metazoa; Chordata; Mammalia; Rodentia; Muridae
Exons: 2
Source: RefSeq, a predicted model, not a curated record
CGUUACAGCCCACUGACCUACUUCCCACCUGAAAUCCUACCUCUCAAAGUCUCCACCGCCUCCAAAGCGGCAUUAAAUGGCUGAAGACCAAGCAUAGAACACAGGAAGAAGCCCCUCCCGCUGCAGGCAUGCGCAGUCGCUUCCUGCAGGCAGCAACAUGGAGCUGGGUCCACGGCUUGGAUACUGCCGGGAGGCUAAGCUUGCUUUCCCUACCACUCUGGGCUUUCCCGCUUUUCUCUGAAGCCCCUGCUCUUUCCACCAUGCAGCUGCUUGACAACCUUCACUACAAACUGAAGGCUUUGCCUUCCUCUUUUCCCUCCAUGUUCCUUCUUCUGGAAGCUGCUGAGAUUGACAGCUUGCCUUCCCUGUUGCUUUUCUUUUAGACCACAAUAAAACUGUCAUUGAGCUUC